Long non-coding RNA from Oncorhynchus kisutch (coho salmon), 2898 nucleotides. RefSeq lists it as uncharacterized. The transcript is spliced from 8 exons. Lineage: Eukaryota; Metazoa; Chordata; Actinopteri; Salmoniformes; Salmonidae. The record is from RefSeq and is a predicted model, not a curated record.
AGUAUGUUGACUCCCUGUACAAUACCUCUCCCUUUCACUUCACUCUAAGUACUCUUAACAAUAUCUUGAAAUAUAGUUUCUGGUUUUGUUUCCAGUCAAGUCAUAUUAUUGAGGACUGCAGGGUGGGAGAUGUAACAAUGUCCUUGAGAACAGCAGGAAGUGUGUUGGUGGUCUUUCUCUGGUCUGUAGCAGUGGUACUGGGUCAGGAUGGCUGGAGUGUGACAUACACCACUCAGAGUAUCUGUACCUUGAAGGGGUCAUCAGUGGAUCUGUUCUGUUCAUAACAGAUCAGACUGGAGGGAAUUAUGCUGGUGAUCCUGGAGUUACUCUGUCUGUUACAGACCUGCAGGUGAAGGUGACCACUACAUGGUGGUCAAUGACACUGACCUGUAGCACCACCUGUACUCUGACUGGUAACCCCACCUACACCUGGUACAGGAACAGUAAGAUUGUACAAGAGGACUCCUCCCCCUCGUACACAUUCUACUUUAAAACUGAAGACAGCUUCUACUGUGCUGUAAAAGGCAUCAAUUCUCCUGCAGUGUACGGCCCAAAGAACACCUCAGUGUCAGUCAGUCCCUCUGGUGGAAUAGUGGAGGGCAGUUCAGUGACUCUGACCUGCAGCAGUGAUGCCAACCCACCUGUGGACAAAUACACCUGGUACAAGAAGAAAGUAACCUCAGCAUAAGCAUCAGGACAGAGUUACAGCAUCACUAACAUCAUCUCUGAGGACAGAGGAGAAUAUUACUGUGAGGCUGAAAAUAAAUAUGGACGUCUCAACUCUUCUUCUGUGUCUGUGGACGUUCAGUGUAAGUUCACCUAAUCUUCAUCUAUUCAUUGAUAAUCACACAGGUCAACAACAAUAAAUAAUACUAAGCAAUGUGAGACACUUAUCCUACCGUAUGACAUAGAAUUAAAUAAAUAUUGUUCUUCCCUGGUUUCCCCUAUAUCUCCACCUUGCAUUUAUUACCUCAUGAUAUGACAGCAGUGUUUCCCUGGUUUCCUCUGUGUCAUAUCUCCACCUUGCAUUUAUAACCUCAUGAUAUGACAGCAGUGUUUCCCUGGUUUCCUCUGUCAUAUCUCCACCUUGCAUUUAUUACCUCAUGAUAUGACAGCAGUGUUUCCCUGGUUUCCUCUGUCAUAUCUCCACCUUGCAUUUAUUACCUCAUGAUAUGACAGCAGUGUUUCCCUGGUUUCCUCUGUCAUAUCUCCACCUUGCAUUUAUUACCUCAUGAUAUGACAGCAGUGUUUCCCUGGUUUCCUCUGUCAUAUCUCCACCUUGCAUUUAUUACCUCAUGAUAUGACAGCAGUGUUUCCCUGGUUUCCUCUGUGUCAUAUCUCAGAGCUGCCCUGACUGUUGGAGCUCUUCUAGUCACCAUCUACUGCUAUAUUAAGAGGAGACACACAGGAGGAAGUGAUGCCACAUCAGACACACAGAUCCUGGAGAAAAAAAAAUGUCAUUUUAAUCCAUAGAGACGUGAAGGAGAAGCACGUCGGAUGUUGAUCUCUUCUCGGCUGGGUCCUCAUUUGGGACCAAAGUUCCUUGUUGUUAAGAGACUCUCACAGACUCUGCAGACGCUAACUACAGAGGCCAACAGUGACAUGUACACAGCUCUGAACAUGAAAACCAGGCCACCAGAGUAUGACACCCUGGCAAAUGUGAGGGGACUCCCCAGUGACACAGCCCCUCAAAUAGAUCCUUAGCUCUCCAUUUAUGAGAAAUGAAGAGAACCACCACAGAACCUAGACUGAAGAGAAGCACCACAGAACCUGGACUGAAGAGAAGCACCACAGAACCUAGACUGAAGAGAACCACCACAGAACCUAGACUGAAGAGAACCACCACAGAACCUGGACUGAAGAGAACCAUCACAGAACCUGGACUGAAGAGAACCAUCACAGAACCUGGACUGAAGAGAACCACCACAGAACCUUGACUGAAGAGCAACAGCAUCAAACCAAAGCUAGGCCUCAUAAUGUUAUUCUCUUUCUAUCAUGUUGCUUUUUAAUCCAGAAGGUUUGAGACAAUGAGCUUUAACUUUUGAGUAAAUGCUGGAAUUUAGAUUAUUCUCCUAAUGAUAUACAGUAUGUGUACUAUCGUUCAAAAGUUUGGGGUCACUUAAAAUGUCCUUGCAUUUUUUUUUGUCCAUUAAAAUAUAAUCAAAUUGAUCAGAAAUGCAGUGUAGACAUUGUUAAUGUUUUAAAUGACUAUUGUAGCUGAAAAUGGCAGAUUUGUUUGUGGAAUAUCUACACAGGCGUACAGAGGCCCAUUAUCAGCAACUAUCACUCCUGUGUUCCAAUGGCACACUGUGUUAGCUAAUCCAAGUUUAUCAUUUUAAAAUGCUAAUUGAUCAUUCGAAAAUCAUAUUGCAAUUAUAUUAGCACAGCUGAAAAUGGUUGUGCUUGCUGAUUUAAAAGAGGCAAUAAAACGGGCCUUCUUUAGAUUAGUUGAGUAUCUGGAGCAUCAGCAUUUGUGGGUUCGAUUACAGGCUCAAUGUUGCAAUUUAUCUAUUACAGACACUCAGUUUUCAACUUAUCUGUUUUCUAUCUAUUGAUUGUAUUGGUUUUUUUCUAUGGGAUUUUGCCAAUUCCAGAUUUUUACAACAUAUAAAGUUAUGUCUUGUCUUAGUGACACAAAAAUGAAUUAUAUUGACAAGAGAUUUUAAAUAUUUGUAUCUCUGGAGUUGUUCCUGAUGUGUUAAAAUAUGUUUUACUUUGUAUUGCUGUCAGUCAUUACUGGUCAUUUUAUAUUUUAUAUUAUGUAAUACCAUAUUGUUCAGUGUCAUGAUAUUCCUUGUUUUAUUAUCACAUUAUUCAUUAUUAUGUAUUUUAGACACAUUGAAUACAGUAUAAGCAUCAUGUUGUAAAUAAGCUCAAAUGUAAACAAUAAAAAGACAA